This 896-nucleotide small RNA is filed under the name Pongo abelii (Sumatran orangutan). RNAcentral describes it as "processed transcript". Lineage: Eukaryota; Metazoa; Chordata; Mammalia; Primates; Hominidae. The record is from RNAcentral.
AGGAGCUGGAGGAUGAGGCCCGGCUGUGCCGCUGGGCCUCCGGGGGACAUUCAGAGCCACGCAACAAGCGGGGUCUGGGGAGGGGGGGCAUUUAGCGCCCAGCGACCAGCUGCUGCCCUGGGCCACAUAUCUAUCUGACGAUGCGUUUGGCCGAGGCCGCCUCUGUCGCUCCGCGGUGACCUGGGGUUCCGGUCGGGGCUGUCCGAGGGCAAGGGAAAGACGAGUCAAAGGUGGAAGACGACCCGAAGGGCAAGGAGGAGAGCUUCUCGCUGGAGAGCGAUGUGGACUACAGCUCGGAUGACAAUCUGACUGGCCAGGCAGCUCACAAGGAGGAAGACCCGGGCCACGCGCUGGAGGAGAGCCCGCCGAGCAGCGGCGCCGCGGGCAGCACCACGUCUACGGGCAAGAACCGGCGGCGGCGGACUGCCUUCACCAGCGAGCAGCUGCUGGAGCUGGAGAAGGAGUUCCACUGCAAAAAGUACCUCUCCUUGACCGAGCGCUCUCAGAUCGCCCACGCUCUCAAACUCAGCGAGGUGCAGGUGAAAAUCUGGUUCCAGAACCGACGGGCCAAGUGGAAACGGGUGAAGGCAGGCAAUGCCAAUUCCAAGACAGGGGAGCCCUCCCGGAACCCUAAGAUCGUCGUCCCCAUCCCUGUCCACGUCAGCAGGUUCGCUAUCAGAAGUCAGCAUCAGCAGCUAGAGCAGGCCCGGCCCUGAGGGUCCAGAAGGGCCAGGGCCUGGCACCCACCUGGAGAAGCCCCCGCACCCAAGGGAACCCAUGGUGGACUCCACUGUGUUUGAAGCAACCAAGUCACAGCCCAACUGUGGCCAUCCCAAGCAAAUUGAGAAUAUAUUCACUAAAUGGGCUUAAAAGACUGCUUUUGAAGGGGCUUACAG